This 207-nucleotide ribosomal RNA is filed under the name uncultured bacterium. RNAcentral describes it as "partial 16S ribosomal RNA". It matches the Rfam family "Bacterial small subunit ribosomal RNA", at positions 568 to 774 of the family's 1533-position model. The record is from RNAcentral.
CUCGUAGGCGGUUCGUCGCGCCCGGUGUGAAAGUCCAUCGCUUAACGGUGGAUCCGCGCCGGGUACGGGCGGGCUUGAGUGCGGUAGGGGAGACUGGAAUUCCCGGUGUAACGGUGGAAUGUGUAGAUAUCGGGAAGAACACCAAUGGCGAAGGCAGGUCUCUGGGCCGUCACUGACGCUGAGGAGCGAAAGCGUGGGGAGCGAACA